This 1113-nucleotide long non-coding RNA is filed under the name Brassica napus (rape). RNAcentral's name for it is "long non-coding RNA (BNAP_LNC004671)". Lineage: Eukaryota; Viridiplantae; Streptophyta; Magnoliopsida; Brassicales; Brassicaceae. The record is from RNAcentral.
CAUCAUCGUCGUCCUCAUCAUCAUCAGAAGAAGAUAAAGUCUCGUAAGAAUCAGGUAUGGACAAACACAGAAAUUCCCAUAGACAGCGAACGAGAUGAUCAUACGGGAAGCAAUAAGCCAUCUCAAGAAGCUGUCGAGUAUUCAACAUCUCCGACGAGGGAACCCUACUCAACUGCUGCCACGUGUUGGUGGAAACAUCAGCCACCGCCACUAUCGCCGCGCUGCUGAACACCAUAGCCAACAAAAGAAUCUCCUCUUUCUUUAUUCAAUUUGCUUACGAACUCAACUCUCGGUGUCGGUGGUAGUGGUUUUGACUUUUGGUGCUCGACUUUGUUUUGAUAUUGCAGUUUUAUGAUAUUGAUUACUUUUAUAUUUCCUCAAUUAUGGAGAGUUAAGCCGUUGAGUGGUCUUUUACAAAAAAGAAUAGGAAUAGCAAAAAGAAAAAAAUAUACACACUUGUUCCUAAAGAUAUGGUCCUAAAUUACAAUAUUUAGCUACUUAAUUUAUAUAAACUGUCCAAAUUAAAUACUAGGAGAUAUUGGUUCGACACUAGUUGUAAAAAUUUUAAUUUAGAAUUUAAUCUGUACAAUUUUUUUUGAUGUAGCUGUAGAAAUUAAACGAGAAGAAAAGAAAAAAAAUUAUUCUUACAACAAUAUUUUGUUGCUUUAAAAAAAGUUUUUAAGGUCAUUUUUUUCUUCAAAAAAUUGGCUUUAACUUCAAAAACUAUAUAAACAUGAUUGCUAAAACAGUAAAACCUAACCAAUCACCCUCAUUGUUGUAAUGAAACAUAACCAUAAACUUUCUAAUAUAUAAGUGAAAUAUUUGACUAUCUCGUAAAAAAAAUAUUUGACUACAAAAUAUGUAAUAUAUUUGGUAUGAAAAAGAGUAUUUGUAGUUUUUUUUUCACAAGUGAAAAUAAGAUUUAAAUCUAUAAAUAAAACUGAUACUUAUAUACAGUAGAACCUCUAUAAAUUAAUACUCGAUAAAUUAAUAAUCUCUAUAAAUUAAUAAAUUUUUUCAGUCCCAACUUGGGCCAGUGUAAAAUAUGACACAAAUCGAUAAAAUAAUAACAUAAUAAUAUUUUUAAAACUUCCAUGUAAAUAUAUAGUCCCA